This 465-nucleotide ribosomal RNA is filed under the name Vreelandella stevensii. RNAcentral's name for it is "partial 16S ribosomal RNA". It matches the Rfam family "Bacterial small subunit ribosomal RNA", at positions 338 to 795 of the family's 1533-position model. The record is from RNAcentral. Lineage: Bacteria; Pseudomonadati; Pseudomonadota; Gammaproteobacteria; Oceanospirillales; Halomonadaceae.
CCUACGGGUGGCUGCAGUGGGGAAUAUUGGACAAUGGGCGAAAGCCUGAUCCAGCCAUGCCGCGUGUGUGAAGAAGGCCUUCGGGUUGUAAAGCACUUUCAGUGGGGAAGAAAGCCUUGGGGCUAAUACCCUCGAGGAAGGACAUCACCCACAGAAGAAGCACCGGCUAACUCCGUGCCAGCAGCCGCGGUAAUACGGAGGGUGCGAGCGUUAAUCGGAAUUACUGGGCGUAAAGCGCGCGUAGGCGGUCUGAUAAGCCGGUUGUGAAAGCCCCGGGCUCAACCUGGGAACGGCAUCCGGAACUGUCAGGCUAGAGUGCAGGAGAGGAAAGUAGAAUUCCCGGUGUAGCAGUGAAAUGCGUAGAGAGCGGGAGGAAUACCAGUGGCGAAGGCGGCCUUCUGGACUGACACUGACGCUGAGGUGCGAAAGCGUGGGUAGCAAACAGGAUUAGAUACCCGAGUAGUC